This 257-nucleotide ribosomal RNA is filed under the name uncultured Gardnerella sp. Its description in RNAcentral is "partial 16S ribosomal RNA". It matches the Rfam family "Bacterial small subunit ribosomal RNA", at positions 97 to 354 of the family's 1533-position model. Lineage: Bacteria; Bacillati; Actinomycetota; Actinomycetes; Bifidobacteriales; Bifidobacteriaceae. The record is from RNAcentral.
GGCGAACGGGUGAGUAAUGCGUGACCAACCUGCCCCAUGCCCAGAAUAGCUCUUGGAAACGGGUGGUAAUGCUGGAUGCUCCAACUUGACGCAUGUCUUGUUGGGAAAGUGUUUAGUGGCAUGGGAUGGGGUCGCGUCCUAUCAGCUUGUAGGCGGGGUAAUGGCCCACCUAGGCUUCGACGGGUAGCCGGCCUGAGAGGGCGGACGGCCACAUUGGGACUGAGAUACGGCCCAGACUCCUACGGGAGGCAGCAGGG